This 3209-nucleotide long non-coding RNA is filed under the name Panax ginseng (ginseng). RNAcentral's name for it is "long non-coding RNA (PGIN_LNC011805)". Lineage: Eukaryota; Viridiplantae; Streptophyta; Magnoliopsida; Apiales; Araliaceae. The record is from RNAcentral.
UUAUAAUUUGCAGGCAAAGUCAUUGAUUCGUAAAGGAGAUGUGAUAAGCAUCAUAGAUCCUUCACUAGCAGAAAAGGUCAAAAUUGAAUCUGUAUGGAGGAUUGCAGAAGUCGCAAUCCAAUGUGUCGAACAACACGGAGCUUCGAGACCUAGGAUGCAGGAAAUUAUUUUGGCUAUACAGGAUGCAAUCAAGAUUGAAAAAGGGUGUGAUAAAAUAACUUCAGGAAGCGCAAAAUCACGAUCUUCCCGCAGAACACUACUAACGAGCUUUCUUGAUAUUGAAAGCCCCGACUUAUCUAAUCCAUCGCUAGUCCCAUCCGCUAGAUAACCAUCUAGUUCACCUCAUUUUACACUUUUUUAGUAAGAUUAUAAUUAGUAUACAUUGUUGUCUUUUUCUUUUUCUUCUUCUUCAAUUUCUUUUUGCUGAGAGUUGUUACACUUCUAGCUGAAAUUCCUGUACCACGUCAUUAAACUUCGGGCUUGUUAGUGGCUUUAGCUUAUUUGGUACAUUUGGAAUGCACCAUUUUAGACCCCAAACAAUGCGUUUCUAAGUUAAAUAAGCUGCAUUUGGAAAUUGUCUUUGUAAACUGAACAAGAUUUUCAGGUGCUCUUGGCCUCCAAAACCCAAACCAAAUAUGCACUUAAAACAAAUUUGACUUCCAAUUAAGUUAAAUCUUUUCAUGUGUAUACUUGUAUUUAUUGAGGAUAUAUUAAAUUUUGGAAUUUGACAGAUAUUUCGAACAAAAAUUGACAAAUGAAGCUUCAUGGUUAAAAUUAAAAUGCAGAAAAUUUGCAUACCGGUGCAAAUUAUGUAGGCGUGUAUAUAUAUAUAAAGGCAACAAUGAGUUAGUGAGAAAGGAAAUGUGCUAUGAAGAUCGAGUAACAAAGCUUACAGAUGAGGAAUAGGAGGAAUUCACCUUUGCCGGCACAAAUCUUACGCCCUUUCCUUUCUUUCGCCGGAGACUGGAGUACUUGCCUUCGUUUCUUUUAUUUUCUAUCCUCUCGUCUCAAUUGCUUAAUUUUUUUUUCAAGUUGCAGUGAUAAUCUCAUAGUAAUAAUUAUGCAACGACAAGUAUUCGAAAAUUUAAAAUAUUAGAAUAUUAGAAUACAUUUAAAAAUAUUAUUAAAAAUAUUUAUUUUGAUAGUAUAAAUAUUAUUUUGUAAAAGUCAACUUUCAAAAUUAAUGUAAAAUCAUAUUAUUUUAUUUUUUUAAGUAAUAAAAAAAAAGAUCACAUUACAUUAUAUAUUACAAUUCAUAUAUACUAUCUAUACUCCUACUAUAAUGUAAAAUGACAACUACCAAAAUUUUAAAUUAUGUUUGUGCCUUACACGCGGGUUAUCAAUCUAAUCUUGUAAAAGAGGGAUAUAUUUGAAUAUUAANNNNNNNNNNNNNNNNNNNNNNNNNNNNNNNNNNNNNNNNNNNNNNNNNNNNNNNNNNNNNNNNNNNNNNNNNNNNNNNNNNNNNNNNNNNNNNNNNNNNAAGUAUGCUCGUUUAUGAAUACAUGCACAACGGAACUUUGCGGGAUCACAUACAUGGUAUUCAUCUAUAAACCUACCAUAAUUCUGUCUAGUCAUUAGUACAGAGUCAAAGAAAAAUUAAUGACAUAAAAUUUGAUGACAGAUUAUUGCAAUCAGAAGCACUUGGACUGGCAAGCUCGUCUUUAUAUUGCAGAAGAUGCAGCUAAAGGUUUAUACCUGAUUUCUCUGUUGUUCAUGUAGCUAUAAAUUUUAAGAUCAAGAGAGUAGCUGAAACUUGAUCUUUUUAGGCCUUGAAUACUUACACUCUGGAUGCAACCCAAGUAUCAUUCACCGCGAUGUAAAAACAAGCAAUAUUCUCCUAGAUAUCAAUAUGAGGGCAAAAGUAUCUGAUUUUGGACUUUCAAGGCAAACUGAAGAAGAUCUAACCCAUAUAUCAAGUGUGGCUCGAGGAACUGUUGGCUACCUUGAUCCUGGGUAAGCCAUAUCAUGUGAUCUCAUACACUCAUCUGUUCCCUUAUGCCUAGCUUGACUGAGUAUAUCUCUACAACAGGUACUUUGCAAAUCAGCAAUUAACUGAAAAAAGUGAUAUUUAUAGUUUUGGGGUCGUUCUUUUAGAACUGGUCUCAGGAAGAAAGCCUGUGUCAACAGAAGAUUAUGGCACUGAAUGGAAUAUUGUUCACUGGGUAAGCAUGCUACCAUUUCUUUAUUCAUAAUUUUCAACAUUUGGUAACUUUUCCUAAAGCUAAAAUAAAUCCCGAUAGCCAAAAAAAUAUAUGAGAGAUGCAUAAGUCUAUUAAAGACCAUAAUCUGGUUUAUUAAAGACCAUGCCAGGCAAUAUAGCAAAACGUCUAGAAGGUAAGAUGUAUACAGCUUAGGCAAGAAUUAUAGGAUAGGGGUUUGUUUAAAUUAGAAAAAAAAUGAUCCUACAAGAUGGUUUAUUCAAGCUCUAAGAGGUAGCUUAUAUGAUAAAUAACAUCACAAUAUGUAUUCAUGGGAGACUAUUGGUUAUAUUAUCCUUGCUCUACUAGGCACUAGGUAUACUAUAUAGUUAAGGUGUAAUGUAGGUGAGUGGGUGAUUGCUUGUGUCUCUGUCUGGACACAGAAAGUGAAUGGCAAUGCCAAACUAAGAUAGUAUAGUGCAACAGGCAGACUACAACACUAAAAUAAUUGAAAAUGUAAAACUUAUCUAGUAAACCAUAUGCCUGCUAGAAUGUUUUUUAUAUUGGUUCUCAUAAUGACUAAAUCCCAUGAACUAUGAAUUUACAUCAAAAUCCAAAACAUUAAGAUUUACUGUACCUACACAAAACAUUAAUAGUAAAAAUAAUAAUAAUUAAUAAUUCCACCGAGAUCGGAGGGGAUACAUAUUCUUCUAAAAUGAUUAAUGUGCUUCAAUACUAGCUUAAACAGUAAGCAAAUUACAAAACAAAAUAUUAUAAAUCAAAUAUGAUAGCCAUGAAUAAUUUUUUCACACUCUUGAGUUACAUGCUGAUAAAUCAUCAUUUUAUAAUUUGCAGGCAAAGUCAUUGAUUCGUAAAGGAGAUGUGAUAAGCAUCAUAGAUCCUUCACUAGCAGAAAAGGUCAAAAUUGAAUCUGUAUGGAGGAUUGCAGAAGUCGCAAUCCAAUGUGUCGAACAACACGGAGCUUCGAGACCUAGGAUGCAGGAAAUUAUUUUGGCUAUACAGGAUGCAAUCAAGAUUGAAAAAGGGUGUGAUAAAAUAACUUCAGGAAGC